GACGAACGCUGGCGGCGUGCUUAACACAUGCAAGUCGAACGGAAAGGCCCUGCUUUUGUGGGGUGCUCGAGUGGCGAACGGGUGAGUAACACGUGAGUAACCUGCCCUUGACUUUGGGAUAACUUCAGGAAACUGGGGCUAAUACCGGAUAGGAGCUCCUGCUGCAUGGUGGGGGUUGGAAAGUUUCGGCGGUUGGGGAUGGACUCGCGGCUUAUCAGCUUGUUGGUGGGGUAGUGGCUUACCAAGGCUUUGACGGGUAGCCGGCCUGAGAGGGUGACCGGGCAAAUUGGGACUGAGAUACGGGCCAGACUCCUACGGGAGGCAGCAGUGGGGAAUAUUGCAAAAUGGGCGGAAGCCUGAUGCAGCAACGCCGCGUGCGGGAUGACGGCCUUCGGGUUGUAAACCGCUUUCGCCUGUGACGAAGCGUGAGUGACGGUAAUGGGUAAAGAAGCACCGGCUAACUACGUG
Molecule: ribosomal RNA, 468 nt
Filed under: uncultured bacterium
Lineage: Bacteria
Description: partial 16S ribosomal RNA
Rfam family: Bacterial small subunit ribosomal RNA
Source: RNAcentral